This 274-nucleotide ribosomal RNA is filed under the name uncultured bacterium. RNAcentral's name for it is "partial 16S ribosomal RNA". It matches the Rfam family "Bacterial small subunit ribosomal RNA", at positions 523 to 796 of the family's 1533-position model. The record is from RNAcentral.
AUACGGAGGGUGCGAGCGUUAAUCGGAAUUACUGGGCGUAAAGCGUACGUAGGCGGUUUGCUAAGAUAGAUGUGAAAGCCCCGGGCUUAACCUGGGAACUGCAUUUAAAACUGACGAACUAGAGUUGAGUAGAGGGGAGUGGAAUUUCAGGUGUAGCGGUGAAAUGCGUAGAGAUCUGAAGGAACACCAGUGGCGAAGGCGACUCCCUGGACUCGAACUGACGCUGAGGUACGAAAGCGUGGGUAGCAAACGGGAUUAGAUACCCUAGUAGUCC